Molecule: microRNA precursor, 197 nt
Filed under: Medicago truncatula (barrel medic)
Lineage: Eukaryota; Viridiplantae; Streptophyta; Magnoliopsida; Fabales; Fabaceae
Description: MIR2670 microRNA precursor family
Rfam family: MIR2670 microRNA precursor family
Source: Rfam by way of RNAcentral
UCGAGGUAAAAUAGUGAGUUGCUGACUUGGGGAAGUGAUCGACCCUUGGGAUAAGUUUAAAACUGCUUUUUUUAACCCCAGAAACUUUUUACCGUGGGUAAAAAGAACUUCUUGGGGUAAAAAAAACCAUAUUUAAAUUUAGCCCAAGGGUUUAUGAUGUAUUUUCCCCAAGAAGGCUGCUCACUAUUUUACCCCAU